This 497-nucleotide ribosomal RNA is filed under the name uncultured bacterium. Its description in RNAcentral is "partial 16S ribosomal RNA". It matches the Rfam family "Bacterial small subunit ribosomal RNA", at positions 28 to 507 of the family's 1533-position model. The record is from RNAcentral.
GAUGAACGCUGGCGGCGUGCCUAAUACAUGCAAGUCGAGCGAACAGACGAGGAGCUUGCUCCUCUGACGUUAGCGGCGGACGGGUGAGUAACACGUGGAUAGCCUACCUAUAAGACUGGGAUAACUUCGGGAAACCGGAGCUAAUACCGGAUAAUAUAUUGAACCGCAUGGUUCAAUAGUGAAAGACGGUUUUGCUGUCACUUAUAGAUGGAUCCGCGCCGCAUUAGCUAGUUGGUAAGGUAACGGCUUACUAAGGCAACGAUGCGUAGCCGACCUGAGAGGGUGAUCGGCCACACUGGAACUGAGACACGGUCCAGACUCCUACGGGAGGCAGCAGUAGGGAAUCUUCCGCAAUGGGCGAAAGCCUGACGGAGCAACGCCGCGUGAGUGAUGAAGGUCUUCGGAUCGUAAAACUCUGUUAUUAGGGAAGAACAAAUGUGUAAGUAACUAUGCACGUCUUGACGGUACCUAAUCAGAAAGCCACGGCUAACUACGUG